Molecule: ribosomal RNA, 403 nt
Filed under: uncultured bacterium
Lineage: Bacteria
Description: partial 16S ribosomal RNA
Rfam family: Bacterial small subunit ribosomal RNA
Source: RNAcentral
AUUGAACGCUGGCGGCAGGCCUAACACAUGCAAGUCGAGCGAGCGGAGGACGGGUGAGAAAUGUAUGGGGACUGCCCGAUAGAGGGGGAUAACUCCUGGAAACGGUAGCUAAUACCGCAUACAAUCGGAUAAGCCAUAUGGGAUUAGCUAGUAGGUGAGGUAAGGGCUCACCUAGGCGACGAUCCCUAGCUGGUCUGAGAGGAUGAUCAGCCACACUGGGACUGAGACACGGCCCAGACUCCUCCGGAGGCAGCAGUGGGGAAUAUUGCACAAUGGGCGAAAGCAUGAUGCAGCCAUGCCGCGUGUAUGAAGAAGGACCUAGGGUUGUAAAGUACUUUCAGUCGGGAGGCGUUACCGACAGAAGAAGCACCGGCUAACUCCGUGCCAGCAGCCGCGGUAAUAC